AAAUAGGACUCACUAAAAUAACUUAGGAACUCAAGUUGCAAUGAAGAUGUUACUAAACACAAGGGAGACUUCAACAGAAAAACAAUUGAGACUAUAAAUAAAUAUAGAAUUGAUAAAAUACCAAAGUUACAGCUAAUAUGUGAUGCAUGCUAAAAACUUACUCAACUUAAUAACCAUGCAUGCAGGGAAGAAGGGUCCAAACUGACAACCUUGUAUCAGCAGGAAGUAUUAGGUACAUUUUAUUGAAGACUUACUACAUGUAAACAAACCAACAGGAACUUUAAAUCUGUCCCAAAAUGGUGUCUGCACCAGAAACCUUAACAUCAGAUGGAGCUUCUUCAACAUUAAGAGCCUUAACCUUUCCAUCUACCACAUAUGCUGACCACCUUUCAGAUCGUGUUCCAAGUAAUGCACCUGAGAGAUCAGUAACCAACUCCAAACUCUUGUGAAAGCUCCCGUCAAAGUCCCCGUAAAACUCAA
This 480-nucleotide small RNA is filed under the name Vigna angularis var. angularis. Its description in RNAcentral is "Non-protein coding transcript". Lineage: Eukaryota; Viridiplantae; Streptophyta; Magnoliopsida; Fabales; Fabaceae. The record is from RNAcentral.